Molecule: long non-coding RNA, 379 nt
Filed under: Phascolarctos cinereus (koala)
Lineage: Eukaryota; Metazoa; Chordata; Mammalia; Diprotodontia; Phascolarctidae
Description: lncRNA (ENSPCIG00000013660.2)
Source: RNAcentral
CUUGUUUAGUGUCUUCUUUUUCUUUAACUCUAAAACCCAGCCUGGCACCGUGACAGAUUAUCGGGAGUCAAAAGCUGAGGCGAGGUUUUGAUGGGAAAACUGGUCCACACAGAGCUCUCCCUAUUCCACAAUUGCAAGGCCAUAGCUGAGCCACUGGGGAAUCAGACUGAGCCGUUCUCUGGGGGAAGUGCCAUCCAGCUUCUAGCCAAAGCAAAGCCAAAUGUCGGUCUUUGAGGAGCCUCACCCACUGGCAAAGAUCGAACAUCUCCCUUAAAUAUGUGAAAGAAAAAUUGUUGGUUGUCGAGUGAAUUCUCUGCUUGGAAAAAAACUGCCUCUUCUUAAUCUACAAGUUCAAUAAAAGUUCAAAAGUUGAUCGGUG